GGUAGGCAAAGCCUGCGUUGUACAAACAACUUGGUGAAUGCUGGGAUUGCACACAUACAUCAAUCUGUUUCUCAACUUCUCCCAGCAUGUCUAUGGAGGUUAUUUUGGUCUUGUUAAGUUUGUUCCUCCUAACCAACAACAGAGGCUUUUGCUUCCACGACUCAACAUCAUGAGAUAGCAAGACAUUCCAUGAUUUAGAAAAGCACCUUAACUUGCAGAGAUCCUUGGCUAGAAUCUCGAUGACCGACUCCUUCAACUGAAAACAAUGCCUAGCUCCUCCUGCUUUCUCAUCAUUUCCGUCAACACACAACUGAUUCAUUGGAGAUGUGUUCUUGGUUUUGAUAUAUGAUGUUCAGGAACAAGUUGCAGGAUGAGUAUUUAUAGAGGUUGGUGCACUCUGCAAGUAAUGAAUGUUGAUUAACAAAUAGUAGAUGGGAAAGAAGGUUGCUUGUAAACUAGAGCAUCUCCAUAACUUACAUUUUGGCCGGGUUUUUUUUACCCUAUUUUUGGUUGAACAUUUCCAGCCACGUUUUUAUUGUUAGAUAUUUCAAGGAGGAUCUCUGACUUGGUGGUCCUUUCUCAUCCCACUGAUUCUCUAUUUGCCGUCAUUUUUCUUCCAGCGAACAAUCAAAAUCAACACUCUUUGAUUCGUUUUCAGCAUUUC
This 664-nucleotide long non-coding RNA is filed under the name Salvia miltiorrhiza (redroot sage). RNAcentral's name for it is "long non-coding RNA (SMIL_LNC005952)". The record is from RNAcentral. Lineage: Eukaryota; Viridiplantae; Streptophyta; Magnoliopsida; Lamiales; Lamiaceae.